This 76-nucleotide transfer RNA is filed under the name Anaerorhabdus furcosa. RNAcentral's name for it is "tRNA_Lys_CTT". It matches the Rfam family "tRNA". Rfam says of the family: Transfer RNA (tRNA) molecules are approximately 80 nucleotides in length. Their secondary structure includes four short double-helical elements and three loops (D, anti-codon, and T loops). RNAcentral also lists the same sequence under 3 other names. The record is from RNAcentral. Lineage: Bacteria; Bacillati; Bacillota; Erysipelotrichia; Erysipelotrichales; Erysipelotrichaceae.
GACUCCUUAGCUCAGAUGGUAGAGCAACUGACUCUUAAUCAGUGGGUCUGGGGUUCGAUCCCCCAAGGAGUCACCA